This 1433-nucleotide ribosomal RNA is filed under the name uncultured bacterium. RNAcentral's name for it is "16S ribosomal RNA". It matches the Rfam family "Bacterial small subunit ribosomal RNA". The record is from RNAcentral.
AGAGUCUUAUCCUGGCUCAGGAUGAACGCCGGCGGUGUGCCUAAUACAUGCAAGUCGUACGCACUGGCCCAACUGAUUGAUGGUGCUUGCACCGGAUUGACGAUGGAUCACCAGUGAGUGGCGGACGGGUGAGUAACACGUAGGUAACCUGCCCCGGAGCGGGGGAUAACAUUUGGAAACAGAUGCUAAUACCGCAUAACAACAAAAGCCACAUGGCUUUUGUUUGAAAGAUGGCUUUGGCUAUCACUCUGGGAUGGACCUGCGGUGCAUUAGCUAGUUGGUAGGUAACGGCUUACCAAGGCGAUGAUGCAUAGCCGAGUUGAGAGACUGAUCGGCCACAAUGGAACUGAGACACGGUCCAUACUCCUACGGGAGGCAGCAGUAGGGAAUCUUCCACAAUGGGCGCAAGCCUGAUGGAGCAACACCGCGUGAGUGAAGAAGGGUUUCGGCUCGUAAAACUCUGUUGUUGGAGAAGAACGUGCGUGAGAGUAACUGUUCACGCAGUGACGGUAUCCAACCAGAAAGUCACGGCUAACUACGUGCCAGCAGCCGCGGUAAUACGUAGGUGGCAAGCGUUAUCCGGAUUUAUUGGGCGUAAAGCGAGCGCAGGCGGUUGCUUAGGUCUGAUGUGAAAGCCUUCGGCUUAACCGAAGAAGUGCAUCGGAAACCGGGCGACUUGAGUGCAGAAGAGGACAGUGGAACUCCAUGUGUAGCGGUGGAAUGCGUAGAUAUAUGGAAGAACACCAGUGGCGAAGGCGUCUGUCUGGUCUGCAACUGACGCUGAGGCUCGAAAGCAUGGGUAGCGAACAGGAUUAGAUACCCUGGUAGUCCAUGCCGUAAACGAUGAGUGCUAGGUGUUGGAGGGUUUCCGCCCUUCAGUGCCGGAGCUAACGCAUUAAGCACUCCGCCUGGGGAGUACGACCGCAAGGUUGAAACUCAAAGGAAUUGACGGGGGCCCGCACAAGCGGUGGAGCAUGUGGUUUAAUUCGAAGCUACGCGAAGAACCUUACCAGGUCUUGACAUCUUGCGCUAACCUUAGAGAUAAGGCGUUCCCUUCGGGGACGCAAUGACAGGUGGUGCAUGGUCGUCGUCAGCUCGUGUCGUGAGAUGUUGGGUUAAGUCCCGCAACGAGCGCAACCCUUGUUACUAGUUGCCAGCAUUAAGUUGGGCACUCUAGUGAGACUGCCGGUGACAAACCGGAGGAAGGUGGGGACGACGUCAGAUCAUCAUGCCCCUUAUGACCUGGGCUACACACGUGCUACAAUGGACGGUACAACGAGUCGCAAACUCGCGAGAGUAAGCUAAUCUCUUAAAGCCGUUCUCAGUUCGGACUGUAGGCUGCAACUCGCCUACACGAAGUCGGAAUCGCUAGUAAUCGCGGAUCAGCAUGCCGCGGUGAAUACGUUCCCGGGCCUUGCACACACCGCCCGUCA